This 263-nucleotide ribosomal RNA is filed under the name Anophryoides haemophila. Its description in RNAcentral is "partial Bacterial small subunit ribosomal RNA". It matches the Rfam family "Bacterial small subunit ribosomal RNA", at positions 259 to 534 of the family's 1533-position model. The record is from RNAcentral. Lineage: Eukaryota; Ciliophora; Oligohymenophorea; Philasterida; Glauconematidae.
AACGGCUCACCAAGGCGACGACGGGUAGCCGGCCUGAGAGGGUGACCGGCCACACUGGGACUGAGACACGGCCCAGACUCCUACGGGAGGCAGCAGUGGGGAAUAUUGCACAAUGGGCGCAAGCCUGAUGCAGCGACGCCGCGUGGGGGAUGACGGCCUUCGGGUUGUAAACCUCUUUCAGCAGGGACGAAGCGGAAGUGACGGUACCUGCAGAAGAAGCACCGGCCAACUACGUGCCAGCAGCCGCGGUAAUACGUAGGGUG